GCUAGCUACAGGCUUAACACAUGCAAGUCGAGGGGCAGCAUGGUCUUAGCUUGCUAAGGCCGAUGGCGACCGGCGCACGGGUGAGUAACACGUAUCCAACCUGCCGUCUACUCUUGGACAGCCUUCUGAAAGGAAGAUUAAUACAAGAUGGCAUCAUGAGUCCGCAUGUUCACAUGAUUAAAGGUAUUCCGGUAGACGAUGGGGAUGCGUUCCAUUAGAUAGUAGGCGGGGUAACGGCCCACCUAGUCUUCGAUGGAUAGGGGUUCUGAGAGGAAGGUCCCCCACAUUGGAACUGAGACACGGUCCAAACUCCUACGGGAGGCAGCAGUGAGGAAUAUUGGUCAAUGGGCGAGAGCCUGAACCAGCCAAGUAGCGUGAAGGAUGACUGCCCUAUGGGUUGUAAACUUCUUUUAUAAAGGAAUAAAGUCGGGUAUGGAUACCCGUUUGCAUGUACUUUAUGAAUAAGGAUCGGCUAACUCCGUGCCAGCAGCCGCGGUAAUACGGAGGAUCCGAGCGUUAUCCGGAUUUAUUGGGUUUAAAGGGAGCGUAGAUGGAUGUUUAAGUCAGUUGUGAAAGUUUGCGGCUCAACCGUAAAAUUGCAGUUGAUACUGGAUAUCUUGAGUGCAGUUGAGGCAGGCGGAAUUCGUGGUGUAGCGGUGAAAUGCUUAGAUAUCACGAAGAACUCCGAUUGCGAAGGCAGCCUGCUAAGCUGCAACUGACAUUGAGGCUCGAAAGUGCGGGUAUCAAACAGGAUUAGAUACCCUGGUAGUCCACACGGUAAACGAUGAAUACUCGCUGUUUGCGAUAUACUGCAAGCGGCCAAGCGAAAGCGUUAAGUAUUCCACCUGGGGAGUACGCCGGCAACGGUGAAACUCAAAGGAAUUGACGGGGGCCCGCACAAGCGGAGGAACAUGUGGUUUAAUUCGAUGAUACGCGAGGAACCUUACCCGGGCUUAAAUUGCAGAUGAAUUACGGUGAAAGCCGUAAGCCGCAAGGCAUCUGUGAAGGUGCUGCAUGGUUGUCGUCAGCUCGGGCCGUGAGGUGUCGGCUUAAGUGCCAUAACGAGCGCAACCCUUGUUGUCAGUUACUAACAGGUUCCGCUGAGGACUCUGACAAGACUGCCAUCGUAAGAUGUGAGGAAGGUGGGGAUGACGUCAAAUCAGCACGGCCCUUACGUCCGGGACUACACACGUGUUACAAUGGGGGGUACGGAGGGCCGCUACCACGCGAGUGGAUGCCAAUCCCCAAAACCUCUCUCAGUUCGGACUGGAGUCUGCAACCCGACUCCACGAAGCUGGAUUCGCUAGUAAUCGCGCAUCAGCCACGGCGCGGUGAAUACGUUCCCGGGCCUUGUACACACCGCCCGUCAAGCCAUGGGAGCCGGGGGUACCUGAAGUGCGUAACCGCGAGGAGCGCCCUAGGGUAAAACUGG
RNAcentral lists this ribosomal RNA (1432 nucleotides) under uncultured organism. RNAcentral describes it as "16S ribosomal RNA". It matches the Rfam family "Bacterial small subunit ribosomal RNA". The record is from RNAcentral.